CCAUCAUCAGUUUCUUGUUUUAGGAGAUACUGCAGUUGCAUUUGAGUUCUUUAAGUGGCAGGCCAGAGGAUGCCUUUACAAUAAUAGUCCAGUUACAGUGGAUAAACACAGACUUCAGGGUAAAACUUAGUGUCUCCUUUUACUAUUGAAGUUCUGAAGCACUAAUAAAAUCGUUUUCUUUCUUCCCCAAGUCCCUACCUUAUGAUCAGCCAGUGAUUUAAGCUCUGGAGAAAAUUUGGCUCAUUAAUUUAUAGGAUAGCGUUCAUCUUGGCACAUUCUUCUUUUCCUUGAAAAGUGACACCAAUAGUUAUUUUCAAUCUCCCUUGAAAACAAUGAAAAUGACAACCAUGUGUCUUUUUUUUUAUCUUUUAAAUGCAAUGAUUAGUGAAAUUCCUUCUUUAACUAGCCUGUUAUUAUCCCCGAGCAAUGGAAUAACCUGGGUUAAGUUAUUAAAACAAGCCAUCACCAUGAUGCACAUAAUAAUCAUGGAUUUAUAAGGUUGACCUCUAGAAAAUUCCUUGAUUUUGGAGCCAACAAAAAUGGUAAACUGGUGUAGGUCAAACUAAGAUGAUUAAUUUUAAAAGUUAAGAGGGUAAAACUUGAUCUGACAGUAUACAACAUACCACCACGAAGACUAUCUUCACAUUAAGCUAGAAUUAGAAAUCCUCACAUCUGGGCAGUAGAUCUGACAGCAAAGCCCUAAGUGCCCGCCAUCUGGGUAAUUAAUACAAGAGAAGAACGUGGACAAGGUCGGAACUGCAGUGUCCCAAAAUGAAUGCCUGUGUGCCUCUUUCCAAGGGCUCACUACUCAUCUUCAGCCUGUCUUCUCUAAACAGCUUCUGUUAAUUCACCAAAAUCUCAGACCACAUAGCCAAAUUUAUUUUUCAAAAGAAGUUGGAGGGCUGGGGCUUGGUUCAGUGGCAGGGCUCUUGCCUAUCACAUGUGAGACACUGGGUUCAAUCCUUAGCACCACAUAAAAAUAAACAAAUAAGCCAGGUACGGUGAUACAUGCCUGUAACCCCAGCGCCUCUGGAGCCUGCAAGGAGCUUCAACUGCAAGGAGCUAAGCAACUCAGUGAGACCCUGUCUCUAAAUAAAAUACAAAAAGGGGCUGGGGAUCUGUCCCAUUGGUCAAAUGCCCCUGAGUUCAAUCCCUGAAACCUAAAUAAAUAAAUAAAUAAAAGCAUUCUGUCCAUCUAUAACUACAAAAAAUUUCAUAAUAAAAAAGUUGGAAAUCUGGAUUUUUCAGUGAAAUUUCCUGACUUUUAAUUUAUAUCUGACUGGCCAAUCUCAUUUUUACUCCUGAUAUUUAUUACAUGAUAAAUUAAAAAUUCAAAUAUUACUUACCAUAUAGACCAGUGUUCUCAAAAGUGAGAUGGAAUGCAUAUACCCAG
This 1393-nucleotide long non-coding RNA is filed under the name Marmota monax (woodchuck). The record is from RNAcentral. Lineage: Eukaryota; Metazoa; Chordata; Mammalia; Rodentia; Sciuridae.